This 423-nucleotide ribosomal RNA is filed under the name uncultured bacterium. RNAcentral's name for it is "bacterial SSU rRNA". It matches the Rfam family "Bacterial small subunit ribosomal RNA", at positions 207 to 622 of the family's 1533-position model. The record is from RNAcentral.
AAGACCUUGCGCUUUUGGAGCGGCCGAUGCCUGAUUAGCUUGUUGGUAAGGUAAAAGCUUACCAAGGCUUCGAUCAGUAGCUGGUCUGAGAGGACGACCAGCCACACUGGGACUGAGACACGGCCCAGACUCCUACGGGAGGCAGCAGUGGGGAAUUUUGGACAAUGGGGGCAACCCUGAUCCAGCCAUGCCGCGUGAGUGAAGAAGGCCUUCGGGUUGUAAAGCUCUUUCAGCCGGAACGAAACGGUUACGGUUAAUACCCGUGACUACUGACGGUACGGGAAGAAGAAGCACCGGCUAACUACGUGCCAGCAGCCGCGGUAAUACGUAGGGUGCGAGCGUUAAUCGGAAUUACUGGGCGUAAAGCGUGCGCAGGUGGUUUUGUAAGUCAGAUGUGAAAGCCCCGGGCUCAACCUGGGAACU